UGCUUCGUAGCUCAGCUGGUAGAGCGAUUGCCGCGUUUAGGCAUGUUGUUUCUGUCGCUGAUUCGAAUCCAGCCGAAGCCC
RNAcentral lists this transfer RNA (81 nucleotides) under Paragonimus skrjabini miyazakii. RNAcentral describes it as "Paragonimus miyazakii tRNA-Asn". It matches the Rfam family "tRNA". Rfam says of the family: Transfer RNA (tRNA) molecules are approximately 80 nucleotides in length. Lineage: Eukaryota; Metazoa; Platyhelminthes; Trematoda; Plagiorchiida; Troglotrematidae. The record is from RNAcentral.